This 468-nucleotide ribosomal RNA is filed under the name uncultured bacterium. Its description in RNAcentral is "partial small subunit ribosomal RNA". It matches the Rfam family "Bacterial small subunit ribosomal RNA", at positions 26 to 516 of the family's 1533-position model. The record is from RNAcentral.
AGGAUAAACGCUGGCGGCGUGCCUAACACAUGCAAGUCGAACGCGCUUUCGGGCUUCGGUGCGAGAGCGAGUGGCGGACGGGUGAGUAACACAUGGGUACCUACCUUGGAGUGAGGGAUACCGGCGAGAAAUCGCCGACAAUACCGCAUAGGCUUCUUCACAAGGGAAGCAAAGUGACGCGAGUCACGCUUUGAGAUGGGCCUGUGGCCGAUUAGCUAGUUGGGGGGGUAACGGCUUCCCAAGGCGACGAUCGGUAGCUGGUCUGAGAGGACGAUCAGCCACACUGGGAUUGAGAACGGCCCAGACUCCUACGGGGGGCAGCAGUGAGGAAUUUUCCGCAAUGGAGGCAACUCUGACGGAGCAACGCCGCGUGCAGGAGGAAGGUUUUCGGAUCGUAAACUGCUUUUCUCGGGGACGAGCAAGGACGGUACCCGAGGAGAAGCCCCGGCUAACUACGUGCCAGCAGCC